RNAcentral lists this ribosomal RNA (385 nucleotides) under uncultured bacterium. Its description in RNAcentral is "bacterial SSU rRNA". It matches the Rfam family "Bacterial small subunit ribosomal RNA", at positions 29 to 416 of the family's 1533-position model. The record is from RNAcentral.
AUUGAACGCUGGCGGAAUGCUUUACACAUGCAAGUCGAGCGGCAGCGCGGGGGCAACCCUGGCGGCGAGCGGCGAACGGGUGAGUAAUGCAUCGGAACGUACCCAGUCGUGGGGGAUAACGUGGCGAAAGUCACGCUAAUACCGCAUACGUCCUGAGGGAGAAAGCAGGGGAUCGCAAGACCUUGCGCGAUUGGAGCGGCCGAUGUCUGAUUAGCUAGUUGGUGGGUAAAGGCCUACCAAGGCGACGAUCAGUAGCUGGUCUGAGAGGACGAUCCGCCACACUGGAACUGAGACACGGUCCAGACUCCUACGGGAGGCAGCAGUGGGGAAUUUUGGACAAUGGGGGCAACCCUGAUCCAGCCAUGCCGCGUGAGUGAAGAAGGCC